This is a long non-coding RNA of Cryptotermes secundus, 459 nucleotides long. RefSeq lists it as uncharacterized. NCBI's taxonomy places the organism in Eukaryota, Metazoa, Arthropoda, Insecta, Blattodea, Kalotermitidae. The record is from RefSeq and is a predicted model, not a curated record. The transcript has 3 exons.
UUGGUUGCAUGUACACGACAGUUAAGGUUUCUGCUGUUUGAAUAUACAUACUUAAAUAUAUUUAUUGUCAAGAAGGAAACAUGGAAUUCAAUUGAUUGAAGUAAUCAGUCUAGGUUAUCGUAGCAUUAGUAUUACACAGUUUAUGAUUUAAGCAAAUCGAUAUGAUUAUUCGACGAAAACAUUAGCGCCAUUCGAACUAAAAUCCCGACAUGUUCUACGGUGUUGAUUUUUUACGAAAACUCGACUGUAAUGACAUGAGAUGAGAGUGGGUUUGGUGUGUUUGUGCAGGAAUGAACCGGGUUUUACUCCUGAUGUAACCAAUUCUGAAGAAGAUAUGAAAGGAAGAAGCUGCAGUUCUGGAAAGGAGAGGGCCAACGGAAAGGCAUAACAACAACACAGCAACAACAUAGAGACCGUCACAUGGAUACAUUUAGGGUACAGCGCGGCGGAGCAAUAUCG